AUACAAGAAGCCAAGGACAGUGAACUAUUCAUCCUGGCAGUGGUGGCAGCAGCAGCAUCCUGGGGCCUGGCUACAUGGUGGUGAUGGCCACAGUGUCCCCCAGAUGUUCCAGCAGCAUGGUUUUCAUCGUGGUCUUGGCUAUCCAGCUGCUACCUUUGGUGCCUGCGUGAUUUCUGGGUCCAGUCUUCAAGAUAUUCUGUGAGCUAAUCAAUACCCUUCCAUUAGGUUUUUUGUUUUUUUGUGUUUUUUUUUGCCAUAAUCAGAGCCUGUUUCUUCUGCUUGCAACUGCGAAUGGACUAAUACAGAGUCUUUGAAGGGUAUGGGCAGGGAGAAAUGAUGGGACCUGGCUUGUACUUUGAAGAAGUCCUAUAGGCUGCUAUGUGGCCACGAUAGUAGAGCACAGCUACAGCAAAUGGCCAAAAAGAGUCAGAUCCUCUGCAGCAGGGGUCUCCAGCUCCCGCAGUACUGAUCCAUGGCCUGUUAGAAACUGGGCCACACAGCAGGAUGUGAGCUGCAACAUGAAGUCUUCAUCAGUCAGACACCAGCGUCAUGCUCUUGGCCUUGCCAGCUUCCAGAACCGUGAGCCAAAUACAUUAUUUUCUUUAUAACUUACCCAGUCUGUGGUAUUCAGUUAUAGCAGCAGAAAUGGACUAAGAUGGAACACAAGAGAGGGAAGGAAGUGCAGAGAGAGGGGGAGAAGAGGGAAUAAAACUUCCCCAGAGCUGCGGAGAGCCUACCCCAUCUCUUCAUCCCUGGGAAUCAGGGAGGGGCUGCAGACACAGCCCCUAAGCCUGCUCUGCAUGAUGAGAAGCAUAAAGACCUGACCCUACAGCGUAGUACCCUAAGCAUGUUCCUCCUGCCUGCGAUGAAAGGGGCUAUCUCCCCACCCACAUACAACCCAUCUGCCUCAGGUGUCCACACCAUGGAGGCAGAAUGUCAUGGGCUUGCUGUCAGACCAUGUCAGAUCAUGCUGGGAGAUAAAUUCCCACCAUUAACUCAGAACAUGGUGGUGCUGGUUGUGGGGUCCUAUGGCCAGAGCCUAUGCCCUCGCUGUCCAUGAUAGCUGCAUGGGGGGUGUAGGCUGGCACCAGCUACAGAUGCCCUGAGAGCUGCUGUCCAAAGAGCUGUUCUGAAGAAGCUUUGCUGAGGGGCACAGGGCCGUGGGGGGAGAGAGAGGCAGCCGUGGGGGCGCCCCAGAUGUUGCCCCAUGCCCUUCCAGGGCCUGCCUGGAACUGAAGACACGAGCCCUUGUGAGAGUCAGAGGCACUCGGUCGGGCGCG
Molecule: long non-coding RNA, 1280 nt
Filed under: Homo sapiens (human)
Lineage: Eukaryota; Metazoa; Chordata; Mammalia; Primates; Hominidae
Description: HSALNT0263673
Source: RNAcentral